UAGCUUUGGUUUCUCUUCAUUCAUGCGUAAAUCUUUUGCCUCUUACUAAAGAUUUUAUUGAAGGGGAAUGUUAAAUAAUCAAACACAUUUUUUCCCCUUCGGGAUCAGUGAAGUC
Small nuclear RNA from Electrophorus electricus (electric eel), 115 nucleotides. Its record names the gene U5. It matches the Rfam family "U5 spliceosomal RNA". Rfam says of the family: U5 RNA is a component of both types of known spliceosome. The precise function of this molecule is unknown, though it is known that the 5' loop is required for splice site selection and p220 binding, and that both the 3' stem-loop and the Sm site are important for Sm protein binding and cap methylation. NCBI's taxonomy places the organism in Eukaryota, Metazoa, Chordata, Actinopteri, Gymnotiformes, Gymnotidae. The record is from Ensembl.